Molecule: ribosomal RNA, 425 nt
Filed under: uncultured bacterium
Lineage: Bacteria
Description: partial 16S ribosomal RNA
Rfam family: Bacterial small subunit ribosomal RNA
Source: RNAcentral
GUGGGGAAUAUUGGACAAUGGGCGAAAGCCUGAUCCAGCAAUGCCGCGUGAGUGAUGAAGGCCUUAGGGUUGUAAAGCUCUUUUACCAGGGAUGAUAAUGACAGUACCUGGAGAAUAAGCUCCGGCUAACUCCGUGCCAGCAGCCGCGGUAAUACGGAGGGAGCUAGCGUUGUUCGGAAUUACUGGGCGUAAAGCGCGCGUAGGCGGCUACUCAAGUCAGAGGUGAAAGCCCGGGGCUCAACCCCGGAACUGCCUUUGAAACUAGGUAGCUAGAAUCUUGGAGAGGUCAGUGGAAUUCCGAGUGUAGAGGUGAAAUUCGUAGAUAUUCGGAAGAACACCAGUGGCGAAGGCGACUGACUGGACAAGUAUUGACGCUGAGGUGCGAAAGCGUGGGGAGCAAACAGGAUUAGAAACCCUGGUAGUCC